ACGUUCGGGUAAUCGCUGCAAGUCUUCUUGCAGAGGAAAGUCCAUGCUCGCACGAGCUGAGAUGCUCGUAGUGUUCGUGCCUAGCGAAUUCAUAAGCUAGGGCAGCCGGGUAGCUCAUUCGGUUGACGGCUGGGAAAAUACCUAAGUCCUUAGGAUAUGGUAGGUGUACCUUUAAAAGUGCCACAGUGACGAUUACCUCCUUAGAAAUGAGGAGGGUGGAACGGGUAAACCCCACGAGCGAGAAACCCAAAUUAUGGUAGGGGCACUUUCUCUAUCGGAAAUCAACGAGGAGAAGGACAGGUUCCACGUGAAUCUGUAGAUAGAUGAUUACCGCCUCAGUACGAGACUUGUAAGUCGUUUGCAGUACGGAGGUACAGAACAUGGCUUAUAGAA
RNAcentral lists this RNase P RNA (393 nucleotides) under Neobacillus rhizophilus. RNAcentral describes it as "Bacterial RNase P class B". It matches the Rfam family "Bacterial RNase P class B". From Rfam's summary of the family: Ribonuclease P (RNase P) is a ubiquitous endoribonuclease, found in archaea, bacteria and eukarya as well as chloroplasts and mitochondria. Its best characterised activity is the generation of mature 5'-ends of tRNAs by cleaving the 5'-leader elements of precursor-tRNAs. Cellular RNase Ps are ribonucleoproteins. Lineage: Bacteria; Bacillati; Bacillota; Bacilli; Caryophanales; Bacillaceae. The record is from Rfam by way of RNAcentral.